AUUCUUAUCAUCUGACUUACUCUCCCUCUAUUUUACUCACCCUCACUCUCGACAUCACCACACAUGCCUUCUCCUUCACAUCCAUUUUCUUUUCUUCUCCUUUAACACUAACGUUCUUCUUCUUCUCUUUGCUGCAUCAAGCCCUCAACUUGCAGCACAUACACUCACCAACAUAACCACUCCUUCAUGUUCAAAUUCUUUGCAUUUUGCUGCAGCACAAGCUCACCAUCAUCACCUUUGUUUCUCCCAUUUUCUUCUUCACGUCUUCUCAGCAACAAAACACCACCAUCUUGGCUCUUCAUGUCUCCUCCCACGCGUGACAACAACGCCACCGAGGCCACCCACAACCCCAUCAUGGACGCACCACAUGAACCACACCAUGAACCCUUUUCAGCCAAAACAGAGGAACCACGACAAUCACCAUGGACGGCCACAAGCUCUUCGCCACCGCAAGCAACCACACCCAUGGCCACAAAGAGCCCCUCUGUUUGAGCAAUCACCGCCGCUCCGGACAGCCACCAACAACAACCACAGCGAGCUUCAGCAAGCCACCACCAUGAGCUCAAAGACCAUGAAAAACUCGAGCAAAACAGAGGAGAAGGAACGUGAAAACAGAGGCGAAGUUACGCCGCCGACCCGCCAACUUGUCUCUUCGAUUCCGGUGUACUCGGACCUCCGUUCACAGCGAGGUUAGUACCGUUGGAACCCUUGCAAUGUCCACAAGAAAACCCAUGUUCCGGAUCGUCGUUCCGUCGCUGUUGACCGCCGCCGCUGCCGCCUUCGGGAGCUCUUUCUGGUCAACUCCGACGACCGAUGAAAAGACGGAGGAUACUGCUACGAUCCUUGCCGUGAGGAGAGCGAAAUACUAUUUUCAAUUUCAUAUUUGGGUCAUUUUAUUCGACGACCCCGACGACCACCGUCGACCUUCGGCUAAACUUUAUGGGCAAACCGUCGACUCUUUGGGGAAACGGACAGCGCCGUUGAGUUUCUGGCUGCGAAAGGAUGAAGGAACAACCUUCCUUUGUGUCUCCGGAGACAGUUUCUCCAUCAACCCCGUGAGCCGCAACUUUCUCUCGCGACCCUUCGCAGACAAGUUUCUAAAACUUAAUUUUCGGUGCGAAUAACGAGAGCGCUUGACGACGAAGCUAAAGAAUAAAAGGAAGCGAACCGACACGGGAAAGCAAAGAUGUGUUAAGAUUGGAAUUGCAGUUAGUAUGAGAAUUGGCUAAGAUGCCGUUGACGGAUUGUUUCGUGAUGCUUCGUCGUUCGGGGAAGACCCGGAGCGAAAUGACUGCUACUGAGCCUUCGACGUGGACCCGGACUUCAUGCAGGAUCGGAUGAGGUUCGAUGUUAGGGGUGUAGUAUAUCGGGUUUCGUUGUCAUAACUCUGAUUUUCAUUUCUUAUUUUGGGGCAGGGUAGGUCCCCGACUAUUAGCCUUUUGUGUUGUUCUCUUCCAUGAGGAUCACAGGGAGUUUGUCGGAUGUAGGAGGUCCUUUGGAGGCUGUUUUGGACUGACUUACUUUCUUGGAGGACUGUAUUUAUAAAACUUAUGACUCUGGCUAUGGGUCGCACUUGUUUGCCGUUGGGAAAUACUUUUAGUUACUUCAUGUUACUUCCAGUCACUUGAGGGCACUCGUGACGAUGUUUUUAGUUGCAGCGAGGGUUGUACUUAUAUCGUAUGUUAGUCCCUGUUAAUCGCGAUUGAGUUGAGUCUUUAUUUCGACAAGUCUUUUUAUUUAAACAAAAUGAAAAAAAAUAUCUACUCUUCCGCUUUACUUGAUUUUUGGUUACUAAAGUGACGCCACCGAAAUCGGGGUGUUACAUUGUGGUAUCAGAGCUUGUCGAGUCUUUCGGGAGUCUUUGGGGAAUAGGUCUUCUGUGCUAGGUUGUGUGACUCUGCAAAGAGUAAAAAUUGAUUGUCUGCCAAUCGAUUUUUCGCUUAGAAUUGAUUGAAGUUAUUGCUUAAUCAUAUUGUAUAGUUAUGGAAAAGCUAUCUUAUGAUUAGUACUAACUGUUGGUUUAACUAAACCGAACGAUGAUAACCUUCUAACCAUUCUUUCUCAUUCUAGUAUAAUUCGCUUCAUUACUCUCGUAGCGUGUGCAACACACCUAACUUAGUUAUACUGUUUGAGCUUUGACCUUACAGUUAUUACACCUAUUAAGACUUUAUUUGCCUGUUGCUCGUGUUUAAACUAUAGGAGUACACGAGGUUUAGAAUAACACGCUAAGCCUAGAAAGUAGUCUUGCACCGACUGCUUGUUUUUCACUUGGGGGUUACUGCUUCCACCAAGACUUUAAUCGUCAUUGUUAUUUUCCUGCAGUGCCAUGUGGUAUUUUAGACAGAGAUUGCUAUGCUUCUGAUAGUAAUAGGGAUGAGUAUAAGACACAUUCUUCCGACUAUUGUUUGUAUUUAACUAUAGAAGUUAUAUAGGGUUUAGAGAAGUUUUCUAAGUCUUGAAGUUUGUCUUAGACAUGUACGAGUUGGUAAGAAAGGUAGAAGCUAAGAAUGAAUCCUAAUGGAAUGUUGUAUGAGUUUCAGGAGUUAAGGUAUAUCAUUUUCCAGAUGUAAAUGUUAGAGAUUGAAUAGAUUAAGAGAUGAUCUCAGAUUAGAUAUGACUACUUGAUGAGAUAAACUCUAUGACUAUUUUAUGAGAUAGACUCAUUGGCCUUACUAGUGAGUUUUUCUAAAUUUUCAUCGCCAAGAUAUUGAGCCUGAUCAACUUAAUAUUGAGGGGGUGAUAUUCGGAAUCACAGCUGGCAUGGACUAUGAUAGGAAGAUUGAUUAGAUUUGAUCAAUGAUUAGUCGAGUUUGGUAGGUAAGUUUAUGAUAAGCACUUGAUUGUAAAGGAUUAAGAUUUAAAUCUUUGGAAGUGAUGAUUGUCGUAUAGACAUUAAUUGGUUAGUUCGCGUGAUUACUCCAAGUAGAGGUAGACUUAGUCAAGAGAUUUAAAUGUUCGAAAAAUCUUAAGUAAUCUUCUCAGAAGUUAUGAAGUCAUAGGUUAUGUGAUUUCUGAGGUGGAAUUGUUAAGUGUAAGAUCAAGUUUUGAUCUAGUAGUACAACUCUAUGUUUUGAUGAUUACAAGUUAACCUUUUGAUAUGAACAAUUAUGGUACUCUAACGUGUUUUUCUGAGUGUGCUAUUUACAGGCUCUGACCUCAAUUCAAUCCCACACAAAUCAGAAGCACUGUGCAUAAAGAGUGACCCAAGCAACGCUUUCGCAUUGACCAUGUUCAAUAUGAACAGUGGAAAAGCUUCAGAAGUUCUGAAGCUACACAAACUCUGAGGUGGACUCAGUCACUAGAAGCUCUGAAGAUCCAGAAGUUCUGAUAACCAAGAAACACUUAAGGUUCAGAUGUUCUGAUGUUGUAGAAGACUCUGAAGAUCCAGAAGCUGAUUAGUGGAAACUCUGAUGUCCAGAAGCAAGAAACUCUGAAGACCAUGUACUUCCCUCUGAGUUCAGAAUCAGAAGAUACAACGGUCAGAGGAUCUGUGCUUUCCCUCUGACUCUGAUCAACCGGCUUCACAAGUUCCAACAUGAAGCAUUCCCCUGAUCAGAAGUCUCCUAGGUUUAAAGGUCAAGUCACUAUCCAAGUACAAAAGCAACUGUACCAUCCUAACGACCUACCUAACGUUCUCAGCCACAGCAGAAGCUGGAAUUUCCAGAACUGCCCUCCAACGGUAGCAUUUCCAUGCAGCGUUCAAACCCUAAUCCUUGGAGUAUAAAUAGAGGCUGACGUUUGAAGAAUGUGGUUGGAAGAAUUUACACAAGCACAAGCUAUAUUCAAAAUCCUUCAAGCAUUCUUUCAUCUGAAAUUCAUUGUGUUUACUAUUAGCUUUUCAGAAGCAAAUCUCUUGUAAACAUUUCUUUGAUAAACAGUUUGU
Molecule: long non-coding RNA, 3883 nt
Organism: Lotus japonicus
Lineage: Eukaryota; Viridiplantae; Streptophyta; Magnoliopsida; Fabales; Fabaceae
Exons: 3
Source: RefSeq, a predicted model, not a curated record